AAAUGAAUAGACGGGGACCCGCACAAGCGGUGGAACAUGUGGUUUAAUUCGAAGCAACGCGAAGAACCUUACCAGGGCUUGACAUCUGAAGAAUCUUAGGGAAACCUAGGAGUGCCUUCGGGAGCUUCAAGACAGGUGGUGCACGGUUGUCGUCAGCUCGUGUCGUGAGAUGUUGGGUUAAGUCCCGCAACGAGCGCAACCCUCGUGGUUAGUUGCCUAUAUCGGUUUACUGGUAUAGAGCUCUCUAGCCAGACUGCCGGUGAUAAACCGGAGGAAGGUGGGGACGACGUCAAAUCAUCAUGCCCCUUAUGCUCUGGGCUACACACGUGUUACAAUGGCUGGUACAACGAGUCGCCAAUCAGCGAUGAUGAGCAAAUCUCUUAAAGCCAGUCUCAGUUCGGAUUGCACUCUGCAACUCGAGUGCAUGAAGUCGGAAUCGCUAGUAAACGCAGAUCAGCACGCUGCGUUGAAUACGUUCCCGGGUCUUGUACACACCGCCCGU
RNAcentral lists this ribosomal RNA (502 nucleotides) under uncultured bacterium. RNAcentral's name for it is "bacterial SSU rRNA". It matches the Rfam family "Bacterial small subunit ribosomal RNA", at positions 903 to 1397 of the family's 1533-position model. The record is from RNAcentral.